CGUAGGGUGCAAGCGUUAAUCGGAAUUACUGGGCGUAAAGCGUGCGCAGGCGGUGAUGUAAGACAGGUGUGAAAUCCCCGGGCUUAACCUGGGAACUGCAUUUGCGACUGUAUCGCUGGAGUGCGGCAGAGGGGGAUGGAAUUCCGCGUGUAGCAGUGAAAUGCGUAGAUAUGCGGAGGAACACCGAUGGCGAAGGCAAUCCCCUGGGCCUGCACUGACGCUCAUGCACGAAAGCGUGGGGAGCAAACAGGAUUAGAUACCCUGGUAGUCCACGCCCUAAACGAUGUCAACUGGUUGUUGGGUCUUCACUGACUCAGUAACGAAGCUAACGCGUGAAGUUGACCGCCUGGGGAGUACGGCCGCAAGGUUG
This 370-nucleotide ribosomal RNA is filed under the name uncultured organism. RNAcentral describes it as "bacterial SSU rRNA". It matches the Rfam family "Bacterial small subunit ribosomal RNA", at positions 526 to 896 of the family's 1533-position model. The record is from RNAcentral.